UGCCUGCAGGCGAAAAAACGGAUGGACUUGGCGAUCGGGACCGAGUUGUUUAUAUACAUAUAUCUCACGCGCAACUAUUAAACCAUCUGUUAUAUUAUAUCACCGCGCCUUGUGUAAAGAAAUGUUGGUGCUUGCAUAUGUAGGGUGUGGAAAAAUUAGCUCAGCGGUCAUUGCCCUUGCGGCUGACCAUACACCUAUGCGCACUUAAAUAGACCUACCUGACCGUAUGUCACCUAUUCUCUCCUUCUCUCAGGUUAUUAAAAUUGUUCGAUGCCGACAUUCUAAAAGCCACUUAAGGGAAGAAAAGUGAAUCACGAAAAUCUAGAAAAGAAAACUUAAUGAAAAAUUAUGGAUAGAAGAAAAAAAAAAUAGAAAAGAAAAUUGUUCAAUAAUAUUAAAUAUUCCUCUAGACAUUAACUUAGAAUAGAAGAAGAAAAACAUGAAAUUUAUGCGUAGUUAAUAAUAGAUUCUAAAGGGUGCAUUAUCGGUCUCAUUGUGUCCAUGGAAGGGUAUUGGUAAAAUACCUCUUCAUAACGCUUCUUGUUAUUUUGCAUAUUUCUACAUUUCUUUAACAGUUAGAACGUGAAAUUGGUUUAAAAGUCUGUAAGUAGACACACAUAUACACACAUACACUCCGGGUCAGGAGAAUAGCGUCUACACAGUGAGACAUGCAUGCUUAGCCAUAUAUAAAAUGAAUUAUUAUUAACUAUAAUCACUACAAUUAUGCCAUUUAAUUCAUUUAAUUAAUUAAUUCUUACUUUAUAUUUUGAUUAUAUUAUUUUUAUUCAUAUUUGAUCAUUCUCUUGAAUUCCUAUGUAUUAAAUUAGUCCCACAUAUAUAUACACAUGCAGUAAAAAUAGUUUUAAGGGUUAG
This 873-nucleotide long non-coding RNA is filed under the name Drosophila guanche. Lineage: Eukaryota; Metazoa; Arthropoda; Insecta; Diptera; Drosophilidae. The record is from RNAcentral.